RNAcentral lists this ribosomal RNA (105 nucleotides) under Pantoea ananatis. RNAcentral's name for it is "partial 23S ribosomal RNA". It matches the Rfam family "Bacterial large subunit ribosomal RNA", at positions 1 to 96 of the family's 2925-position model. Lineage: Bacteria; Pseudomonadati; Pseudomonadota; Gammaproteobacteria; Enterobacterales; Erwiniaceae. The record is from RNAcentral. RNAcentral also lists the same sequence under 5 other names.
GGGUUGUGAGGUUAAGCGACUAAGCGUACACGGUGGAUGCCCUGGCAGUCAGAGGCGAUGAAGGGCGUGCUAAUCUGCGAUAAGCGCCGGUAAGGUGAUAUGAAC